CUCACCUACGGGGGGCAGCAGUGGGGAAUAUUGCACAAUGGGGGAAACCCUGAUGCAGCAACGCCGCGUGAGUGAAGAAGGUUUUCGGAUUGUAAAGCUCUGUUAGCAGGGAAGAGGAAGGACGGUACCUGCAGAGGAAGCCACGGCUAACUACGUGCCAGCAGCCGCGGUAAUACGUAGGUGGCAAGCGUUGUUCGGAAUAACUGGGCGUAAAGGGAGCGUAGGCGGGGAUGCAAGUUGGGUGUCAAAACUACCGGCUCAACCGAUAGUCG
This 272-nucleotide ribosomal RNA is filed under the name uncultured bacterium. Its description in RNAcentral is "partial 16S ribosomal RNA". It matches the Rfam family "Bacterial small subunit ribosomal RNA", at positions 334 to 622 of the family's 1533-position model. The record is from RNAcentral.